CCUACGGGAGGCAGCAGCAAGGAAUUUUCGGCAAUGGGCGCAAGCCUGACCGAGCAACGCCGCGUGGAGGACGACGGCCUUCGGGUUGUAAACUCCUUUUGGGGGGGAAGACAACGACGGUACCCCCCGAACAAGGCUCGGCUAACUCUGUGCCAGCAGCCGCGGUAAGACAGAGGAGCCAAGCGUUGUCCGGAUUGACUGGGCGUAAAGCGCACGCAGGCGGUCGUGCACGUGGGGUGUGAAAGCGGCCGGCUUAACUGGCCGAGGCCAUCCCAUACGGCGCGACUGGAGCCAUGCAGAGGUCGGUGGAAUUGCCGGUGUAGUGGUGAAAUGCGUAGAGAUCGGCAGGAACACCCAGGGGGAAACCAGCCGACUGGGCAUGGGCUGACGCUCAGGUGCGAGAGCGUGGGGAGCGAACCGGAUUAGAUACCCUAGUAGUC
Molecule: ribosomal RNA, 440 nt
Filed under: uncultured bacterium
Lineage: Bacteria
Description: bacterial SSU rRNA
Rfam family: Bacterial small subunit ribosomal RNA
Source: RNAcentral